UACGUAGGGAGCGAGCGUUGUCCGGAUUCAUUGGGCGUAAAGAGCUCGUAGGCGGCCUGUUGCGUCCGCUGUGAAAGCCCGGGGCUUAACCCCGGGUCUGCAGUGGAUACGGGCAGGCUAGAGGUAGGUAGGGGAGAAUGGAAUUCCCGGUGUAGCGGUGAAAUGCGCAGAUAUCGGGAGGAACACCGGUGGCGAAGGCGGUUCUCUGGGCCUUACCUGACGCUGAGGAGCGAAAGCGUGGGGAGCGAACAGG
RNAcentral lists this ribosomal RNA (253 nucleotides) under uncultured bacterium. Its description in RNAcentral is "partial 16S ribosomal RNA". It matches the Rfam family "Bacterial small subunit ribosomal RNA", at positions 524 to 776 of the family's 1533-position model. The record is from RNAcentral.